This 478-nucleotide ribosomal RNA is filed under the name uncultured bacterium. RNAcentral's name for it is "partial 16S ribosomal RNA". It matches the Rfam family "Bacterial small subunit ribosomal RNA", at positions 28 to 507 of the family's 1533-position model. The record is from RNAcentral.
GAUGAGCGCUGGCGGCGUGCUUAACACAUGCAAGUCGAACGGGAAACCUUUUAUUGAAGCUUCGGCAGAUUUCGCUGGUUUCUAGUGGCGGACGGGUGAGUAACGCGUGGGUAACCUGCCUUAUACAGGGGGAUAACAACCAGAAAUGGUUGCUAAUACCGCAUAAGCGCACAGGACCGCAUGGUCCGGUGUGAAAAACUCCGGUGGUAUAAGAUGGACCCGCGUUGGAUUAGCGAGUUGGCAGGGUAACGGCCUACCAAGGCGACGAUCCAUAGCCGGCCUGAGAGGGUGAACGGACACAUUGGGACUGAGACACGGCCCAGACUCCUACGGGAGGCAGCAGUGGGGAAUAUUGCACGAUGGGGGAAACCCUGAUGCAGCGACGCCGCGUGAAGGAAGAAGUAUCUCGGUAUGUAAACUUCUAUCAGCAGGGAGGAUAGUGACGGUACCUGACUAAGAAGCCCCGGCUAACUACGUG